This 253-nucleotide ribosomal RNA is filed under the name uncultured bacterium. RNAcentral's name for it is "partial 16S ribosomal RNA". It matches the Rfam family "Bacterial small subunit ribosomal RNA", at positions 524 to 776 of the family's 1533-position model. The record is from RNAcentral.
UACGGGGGGGGCAAGCGUUGUUCGGAAUUACUGGGCGUAAAGGGCUCGUAGGCGGCCAACUAAGUCAGACGUGAAAUCCCUCGGCUUAACCGGGGAACUGCAUCUGAUACUGGAUGGCUUGAGUUCGGGAGAGGGAUGCGGAAUUCCAGGUGUAGCGGUGAAAUGCGUAGAUAUCUGGAGGAACACCGGUGGCGAAGGCAGGUCUCUGGGCUAGAACUGACGCUCAUGCACGAAAGCGUGGGGAGCGAACAGG